This is an RNA transcript of Oxyura jamaicensis (ruddy duck), 4316 nucleotides long. RefSeq lists it as uncharacterized. Lineage: Eukaryota; Metazoa; Chordata; Aves; Anseriformes; Anatidae. The transcript is spliced from 3 exons. The record is from RefSeq and is a predicted model, not a curated record.
GGGAACAGCAGAUAAUGAAUUAGCCUCGGUUUACUUGCUGACGGCUGGGCUGGGCCUGCGCACUUUGCCCGGGGCAGAAGGUGCAGUUCAGCUCUUCUGUCCCGAGUGGGAGUGGGCAGGAUCCUGGCACCCGGCUGCUGCCCCGCUCCUCCUGGCCCCCCUGGGGCCUGGGAGCAUGGGACUGGCAUGGCUUGGCCUCAGGUGUGCCUCCGGGAGGAAGUACUGGCCGCAGGGCAAUGCCGAACUCGGUGUACGCGGCACCUGCUUCGUGCAGGAGCCCUGAGUCAGGCUGGUAGCUCGGCACGGCCACGCUUCCAGCAAGGGCCGUGCGUACACUGGGCGCUGCUGGAGCUCGGCCUCCCGGGCCUGCUCCCACGCUGCGGGGCUGGCUGCCGGCACGGCCGGCCCCGGGUCAGGCAUGUGGAAGUGAGAUGCAGCUGAGUGAGGGAGGAGAAAGAGCCAAAGGCUUUACGGGUGUGUUCUGAAGCAACAGAUGCAUUACCUGCGGUGCAGCAUGUAGGCACUUUAAGUCCUGAUGUAGCCUUCACAGGACCUUAGAGAGAGUUCUUGGCCUAGCAGCCGGUGUCCGCCCAAAUAUUUACUGUUCCUGGCACUAAAAUGGAUCCAUAUAACCCAUGUCCCAUACCAGCGGGGAAAUGAAUUAAAGCUUUGGAUAACACUUCCACCAACCUCGCUUGUUCUCUACAUGGACUCUACAAGAGGGCUGGCUGUGGCUCUCAGCUGUUUGAGUUGCAAUCACAACGUGAAAUCAGUGCUGUAGCUACAGCUGCAGAAAUUCCAGAAGUUCCUGCUCCGGGUCGCCUGCAAAGUAAAUCAGGGCGUGAGCCCUCAGAAAAUGCUGGUCUCUGUCUGCUUCAUCUCAAAAUGAGUGCUUGCUUCUAUUUAAAGACGAUGUGUUUUACCCUGAGUUUAUCACAAAAGGCUGGAUAAUUGGAUGAUACAAACUGGCAUAGCUCCUCGGAUGCCAACCAGCAUUUAACCCCAUUUCUGCAUUACUUGAUGGAACCGCUGCUUUGGAUGGGCAUCAGAGCACAGGGAUACCAAGCCAUAUGCAAUGAGACAUGUCGUUACCUAGUGGUCAAUCCACAGUACAGUAUGUUAAGAAGUUUGCAUUGUCCUAACCCAUGAGGCCAGUGUGCUGGCACUCCGUGGUGACUUCCUGACUGUGUGUCACCUACCUGGAACUGAAACCUUUCUGCUUCCCAGAGGUACAGUGGGUGGCACCUUUCCAAAAUUCUGGCAAAAUGUGUUUGUCAGUAAGCUGCACAAUCAGUGCCUUGUCACAGUGCGUGUAGAUCUCCAGAUGUUUUGCUUAUUUUCACAUCCCACAGACACACACUGUGGUCUAACGGAAGAAGAACUGGAUUUUUUUAUUAUUUUUUUUUCAUCUGUCAUCUCUUUAUCACUAGCUCUUGGUGAAUGCCUAGAGAAUUUAUGCAUCGCAGAUGCAGCCCCUUGGCUCCAGCGAGGAGCUUAUAAAUAGCGUAAUGCAAAAACUGCAGCCCGGCGCCAGUGCCGCGAGCUGCAGAGCCGUGUGCCCUUUUCAUGAAGGAGUCUAUAGCACAAACUCCUCUUGGCCUUCUAGCACAUCGCUGGGCUCAUAAAUAUUUCUGAGGUUAAAAAUAAGAUAAACAGCCCUGUCUAGUGGCAAUUUCAAUAACUACAUCAGAAGGACAUUACUUCUAAAAGAAUUCAGCCCCAUAUGUGUUGAAUCAAGUGAGCUUAAAAAUAGAUGGUUGGCUUGCUUUUCUACAUGGCAAAUGCUCCAAGUACUUCUCCAGAGACGCUGGAUAAACAUGUGAGGCCGUACUCUGCCGUUAGCUUUCUCCUAAGAGAUUAGCUGCCUUUAUUUAAUUUUCACCAAACCCAAUACAGCUCCCUGAUGGCUUGCCACUUCUCAAGCUGUGGCUCUAUCUAACGGCUCCCCUUGGACAUACUCAGACUGGAGGUCCAGACCUGCCUCGGGCUCCCAAGUGGAAGCUCUAAUCGUUCCGGAAGCCAUGUGGGAUAGACUUUGCAUCGCUCUGGGUUGCUGCGGGUCCCGUGGUGCUCCUGGAGGUUGCAGAGGAUCAAAGGUCAGAGCCUGAAGGAAGGUGACCUCACUAGGAGCUGCUCAGAUGUCAGGUGAAGUGCAUGCCCCACAAACACCGAUAGCACGUUGGUGCUGCAGCCAGAGCAGGCACACAAAGAGAUGGAGGCUGUGGAUCUAGAAAUACAUACAUGCUUGCGGAAGAACUUGCAGGCCUGCACACGCAUUGCUCCAGUCCUCAUGAGAAGUCUGUAUCUGACCUAGUAGCUGGACAAAAAUUUGCUUGGCUCUUAACCUGUAAGAAGUAGGCAGUAAUUCCAUAGCUUACGUUGCUCGUUAUAACUAAUGUAAUAAUCACAUAACGAAAUAUACAAAUAGAGAAUAAAACUGUCUUUUCAUCCUUAGACUAGAAUAUUGUGUUCUUUAUAAGCCAUUUAUACAUUUGUAUAAACAUGCCAUAUGGAUAUUCAUUAAUUAAUGUUCUUUGCAAUUAUAACCCCUUCUUCCUCCAUGUAAUAAUUCAGCCUUGACUUCUGGAUAGUGUUUGCAUAAUUGGAAUAACCUUAUGUGCCAGACUCAGAAAUUGCAUAAGUCAAUGAGAAGCUGUAAGUCUUUCCACUAAGCUGAAUGAGUUUAGGAUCUUGCUUUAUAUUCAUCUUUAAAUUCACAUCUUUCUGCCUUUGUUUUUUUCGCUUAGCAAUUUUAUCAUAUUGAUCACUUGUAAUAUAUGACUGAUCACGUAACUCAUACACUAUUAUUUCUUUCAUUCGAUUUGAUACUUACAAACUCUUUUGCAGUAACGUUACCCUCAUCACAUUUCCUGGGUAAGGAUGUCUGUAUACAUAUUUGUAUACAUACAUAUAAUAUACAUGUGUGGGCUGUAAGUAUAUAUUUAACAGCACAAACUCCAUUCUACACACACGGUUUCUGUGUGGGCAGAAGGAUUUAAUUCACAGACAUUGGUGCCAGAGCAGGAGUAGCCUGGUGGCUAGCAGUCCCACACUGACUCCCUUCCUAGCUAACGCACGCUGCCUUUUACACAGCUGUGUGCGCAUCCUCGUGGGAACAGAGAUGCCUGUAGUGACCAACUGUGCAGAUUUCGCUGUUACAGAUUCUCAAAUGCUCUCCUUAUGACCUAGUGUUCUUAUAAAUAACUGUUUUUGCUUACUUCCAUGAGCUGCAGUUGACAGCAGUGGGACUCCUAUUUAAUUACGUUUCUUAUUAAUACCAGAUGUGUUCAUCACAGCUUGAAGGGCUGCAGUGACUGCCACUUAUGCGUUAAGUGGAGUCUGACAUGUAAAUCUCAGAGUACUGUUCUCCAGAGAUCCAUGUAAACUGACUGUCAUUUGUUUGCUCCUUCAGUUCUCAUAUUAAAGGCACCCUAAGCUUCAAGUGUAAAUGUUGCUUAACAGGGCUUGUGUCUAAAGCACUCAGCAAAGGCUGCUCUUCGCAGCAGAGUGAACGGAGCAAGCUGAAAUGUCCCAGAACCUCAGACUGAAUGUUGCUGAAGGAUAAAUCUGAAGGAGCUGCUGAUUUUGUAUCAGGGCCUACCUGGGUGCGUUCUUCAAGAAGAGUCAGCAAUGGGGCACCAGAGCAAGCAGUGAAUAGUUGAUUAUGGUGUGGUAUGCAAAGUGAAGAUCAGAAAAAAAGGCUAUUCCUGCAUGUGUUCUCAGUGGUAGGAAUUAAGACGGAAUAUCAGGGAGGAAUGCGAGACAGAAGGCUCUAGCAGAUAAGGACAGUGUUCAGUAGCAACUUCUCAGGAGUCAAAGGCAAUAAGAGAAAAAGCAGUGUCUGGAUCUCAGGGUCAGUUGAUAUGUUUGCAGAUAACACACGUUGCUCGUCAACUCUGUUUAAGCAAGUUUCUCUCUUACAAACUGAUUUUUGCCAGCAAUUUAAUUGCUGGUUUGAUGAUUGCUUGCAACUGCAUAUAAAUCACUGUCUAAAGCAUUGUUUUCAUUUGUCUCCCUCAAAUAUCCAGCAUUAAUUCUGGAGUAAUACCAUUGGCAAAAUACAAUGUGUAUUAUUCUCAUCUCUAAAUGAAAAUAACUAUUAGUUAAUGUCCAAUAGAGAUUAUCAGCUAGAUGUCUUAGCAGCAGUUUAUUUUAUGCAGGCAGAAUUUAAAUAGGAUUGGGGUCAGCAGUAAUUUAGUCUGAUUAAGGAUGUGGUUUUUGGUUAUUGCUGAGCUGUAUGCAGAUUUGAAAAGAAUACAGGCAGAGUACUUGCGCGGAAGUAAAUGAGAACAAAACUUAAUCCUUUUCUAUUUUCU